UACGGAGGGAGCUAGCGUUGUUCGGAAUUACUGGGCGUAAAGCGCACGUAGGCGGCUUUGCAAGUUAGAGGUGAAAGCCCGGGGCUCAACCCCGGAAUCGCCUUUAAGACUGCAUCGCUUGAAUCCAGGAGAGGUGAGUGGAAUUCCGAGUGUAGAGGUGAAAUUCGUAGAUAUUCGGAAGAACACCAGUGGCGAAGGCGGCUCACUGGACUGGUAUUGACGCUGAGGUGCGAAAGCGUGGGGAGCAAACAGGAUUAGAAACCCCCGUAGUCC
RNAcentral lists this ribosomal RNA (273 nucleotides) under uncultured bacterium. Its description in RNAcentral is "partial 16S ribosomal RNA". It matches the Rfam family "Bacterial small subunit ribosomal RNA", at positions 524 to 796 of the family's 1533-position model. The record is from RNAcentral.